Microplitis demolitor is the source of this 3787-nucleotide long non-coding RNA. RefSeq lists it as uncharacterized. The transcript is spliced from 3 exons. The record is from RefSeq and is a predicted model, not a curated record. NCBI's taxonomy places the organism in Eukaryota, Metazoa, Arthropoda, Insecta, Hymenoptera, Braconidae.
UCAAUAGAAAAUAUAAUCUAAAAAAUUACUCAGCUAUUUACAUUGCACAAAUCACUGUGUUGAGAUAAUUUUUGCAACAUUUUUUCAGUAUCCAAAUUCAUCAUUGGAAUCAUAAUUCAUGACAAUUUUUUUUGAUCGGGUAUCAUAGGCUCGAUAAGCUUGACUACAAAAAGUUGAAACAUCUAGCCCAGAAUUGAUUUGAGAAGUUAAUAUAUUAGUUUUAGACUGUUCGUCUUUAAUUGAAUUCAAAAACAACCCAAUAGAAGGUUGACAAACACCAACAUGUUGAUUAAAACCACUAUGCCAUCCUCCUCACAAUCAAGCGUAUGUUGUGAGCAAAAAUCACAACUGUAUUAUACAUUUUUUGAAGUCCACAUGACUGAAGACGACGCCACAUACAUUGAUUGAAAUGAAAAUUACACCCAUCAACUUUCACACCAGAGUAUAUUUCUUUAAAUGAUUCAAUGAACGCCUCUUCAAAGUCAACCAUCAUUCGAGUUGGUGUGAAAUUUGGUAGACUUUUUCUCAACACCUUUAAAAAUUUAAUGUAGGUAGAUUCAGAUUUGUCAGAUGACAACAAGUACACAAGUGGAAGUGAUUUUCCAUUUGAUAUAUCAUGAAUAGUAUACAAUUGGCUAAAAAUACGCUAAGAAAUUCAAAUUUUUACGUGUUGUGAACACUAGAAAUCGUUUUGUAUUGCCGCCGCUAUCAUCUAGUAAAAAUGAUUCUGCUUUUUGUGUAGUUUUAAAAACAUCUGGCAAUUCUAGUUUCCCUCGAGACGGUGGGUCAAUCAUGCGAAAACGCAUUUUAGUUUCGAUUAAAGUAGAAUUAUUAGCAAGAUCGUGAAUUGCUAUCGCACCAACUAUAUUGUCUAUAUAAAACAAAUAUUAUUAUUAUAAAUAUCUAAAAUAACAUCUGACUGAUGUCAAGAUGCAUAUAUCAAUGAAAAUGAAUAAAUUACUCAAUCAAUACUAAACCAUUAAUUAAACAAUAAUAAAAAACCUGUUUUUUUCAGUAUCGGCGUAGAUUAGUACAUUGCAUUUAACAUUAGAAGCCCAACGCCAAGAAAUUGUAUUUUUAUUAACUUUCUUUCGAGAAUACAAAUAUCCUUCAUGUAAUAAUAAAUUAUUACCUUUUUGGGACAUUACAAAUAUUAAAGGCAUUUUGCUUAUGGAAAAACAAGUGACUAAUCGAUUAUCAAUAAUAAUUAAUGAUUUAUUAUAUCACAAGCGAAAAUAUUAAUGUAAGCAGCUAAGCGAAGCGUCAAAUAUAUGUACAAAAUACCGGAGAUGAGAAACCAUAACCACAACAAGAUAUCAUAUUGAAUGGAAUAUAGUAUUGGGCUCAAAAGCUGAACUGGACGAGCACCCGGCGUGAUACCGACAUGGUCUGGUGUCGAAUACUAGUUCGGGCUAUCUUUACUUUUCUCAAUUCAUCUUUAAAUUGUCUUAUUGAGAAGGUUCCUUGCGUACAAUUUUCGAGUGAGUGUCAGCCAAACAAAUUGCCGGAAGAGGAAGAAGUUGUUCAAAGUCUUUCUGAUUGUGAAGAACAAUCGAAAACGGACUCAGAACAAGACGUAUCGAUAAACUGGAGCGAUUACCAAAUCUAUGAUUUCGACGCAGAAAACACACAAGUUGCAGUUGAAAAUGAACGGGCUCUAGCAAUAUGCAAACGUAAAGCAAGUUAAACAGGAAAUCAAACUACUUUUUCAAAAUCUUGUUGACGUGGUCACCCAUCCACCAAAUUAUACAGUAAAAAUAAAUUUGCCUAAGAAAUGUGAUCAGGUGACCGAAGAUCAGCUUGUAUAAACGGAGAUGAAGUUCCGUAUAAAGCAAGCUUGGCAGAUGAUGCUGUAAAUCUGGAUUCGUUGAAGAACUUUUGGGAUCUCUUGUUCAAUUAAGAAAUCAUUAAAGCAAUCGUUGACAACCUUGCUCGAGGUAUUACUGGUCAUCUUGCCAACUAUCUUGCUCAAGGUAUUGCUUGUAAUCUUGCUGACUAUCUUGCUUUUACGUGUGACCUUACACCUUAAUGUUCCUAGCUCAGUGUCUCUAGAAAUUUAAUAGGAUGUUAUAAAGGGUGUGGGUCGGUCAGUAAAGGAAUGACUAUACGUGAAUUAUAUGGAUAUUUGUUUAUUGGGCGUCCCCAAACAUGGGAGUACCCAGAGAAGGCUCUGAAAGUCUAUUUUGCAAGUCUGAGAUAGCAUAAAUCAUACGGAUACAAAUGCAAUAUUUUUAUUCAACAAUAGCGGCCUUAAAGGUAUUCUGAUAGUGAUCUGUAAUAGAAGCGGUAAAAUAAAGAAGAGAUACAAUAUUUAUGCGCGAGCAGACAACUAUUCGAAUCAGCUUAACUAUGAUACUUAACUCUUUUCUGCAAUCGCAUUUUCUGCCUCGAAAAUAUCACUCCACCUUUUCUAUGAGAACUCUUUUCUCGCUGCAUUCGAAAAUAUCCCUCUGCAGUCUCCAACGGAAAGCUUUUCUUCCCACAUUCAAAACUGCUGACCACACAAAAUGUCUGCUCGUCGCGUUGUAUAAUAAAAGUAAGACCUAAUACACCUAAUGUGAUGCGAUAUUUAUGUGCAACUGUAGAGCGCCUAAUGAAAUACAACGAAAUAUAUUACUUUCUGAAUUUAAAUACAUGGGUGAUUCCGUUCUAACUGUGAUAUACAAUGUCCUGCAUUUUUUGUUCUCACAGGUCAUUAAUUAAUAAUCAAUUAAUAAAAUUUUUGUGUUGAUUUGAUUGUGAUGAAUAUAUUUCAACAUUAUAUUUCUAUCAUAUAACUUGCCACUCAGAGAAAACUUACCAUGUACCACUUGAAUGUCAGUACCGUGUCUUGUCCGUUUCUAGAAUUUACCUAUAAAUUGUUAAUUUCUUUUGUCGCAAUAAAUGAUUUAAACUAAUCACCUCAUGAAUUCUAAUGUUUAUGAUCUGUAACGGGGUAAAUUCGAAUUUACCGCGUUCAAAUAAGUCCAAAAUAAAAUCCAUUAUGUGUACUGUCGGUCAUGUGACAUUACCACUCAGGGUAUUCCGGGUAGGUAGCGACUAGUCGUCCGGAAGUGGAAAUUUCAAUUUGCUCGAUCGUCAACCCCACUUGGUAGGAGAGAAAAGACAACCAAAGUCAAGAAGGGAGCAAUUAUAAACUGGGACCGAAACGAGAAUCGGACAUUAGUGACCGGAACGACCAGACCGAACGGACCUUGUCCAGUCGAGGAAAAGUUCAACAGCUGAGGAGACGCUACGAUAGGACUCCAUUAUAACCGCCGAUAUUUAGACGUUGCGAGUUUAUAUUAGGUAAAAUUAUUUAAUUGAGAGCUUGUAUUUUACUGUGGAACCGAGCGAUAAAUUAUUCAAAUCUUUUAUCAGAUACCAGGUGGUUAGCCGGUAUCUAUUAUAAAUAUUACUGAUUGCGUCUGAUUAAGCAGGUUGAAGGAGAGAACGGGUAGAGGAGAGGUUAGAGAUAGAGAAAGAGGAGAGACAAGGGACAAUUACUGGAACGAGACGGAAAAUUUACAAUCACCAGACCAGACCAGGAAGAGACCAAGACAAACACAACGACGAGAAAGGAACCAAAGAGUUAAAUUGUUGUAAAGGUAUUUAUUUAAAAUUUUUCCAGGCAGGAAGCCGGAACAUUUUAAUUAAUACAUCGUCGUACGUCUGGUAGCGUCGCGUCUUAGCGUUCAAAAAUUUAUUACUCGUAAUUCGAAUAAUUAAAUCCAUAAAGCGAAAACUAAUAAUUUUAACCCGGAAUUAACUAUGUAAAAUAAUUAAUUAAUAAACUCCAGGCAGGUAG